CUAAGUUUUCUGGAAAGGAAUGCCACAGAGGGUGAUAGCCCCGUACGGUGUUGACUCGAUACAGAGUCCUAACAUGGAGUCGAGUUGUUUGGGAAUGCAGCUCAAAUGGGUGGUAUGCUCCAUCUAAGGCUAAAUAUUUGCGAGAGACCGAUAGCGAACAAGUACUGUGAAGGAAAGAUGAAAAGAACUUUGAAAAGAGAGUGAAAUAGUACGUGAAAUUGUUGAAAUGGAAGGGUAGGCC
RNAcentral lists this ribosomal RNA (241 nucleotides) under uncultured Wickerhamiella. Its description in RNAcentral is "partial 26S ribosomal RNA". It matches the Rfam family "Eukaryotic large subunit ribosomal RNA", at positions 181 to 427 of the family's 3401-position model. Lineage: Eukaryota; Fungi; Ascomycota; Dipodascomycetes; Dipodascales; Trichomonascaceae. The record is from RNAcentral.